GGACGAACGCUGGCGGCGUGCUUAACACAUGCAAGUCGAGCGGAAAGGCCCUUCGGGGUCCUCGAGCGGCGAACGGGUGAGUAACACGUGAGUAACCUGCCCCAGACUUUGGGAUAACCCUCGGAAACGGGGGCUAAUACCGGAUACGACACAGCUUCGCAUGGGGUCUGUGUGGAAAGUUUUUCGGUUUGGGAUGGGCUCGCGGCCUAUCAGCUUGUUGGUGGGGUGAUGGCCUACCAAGGCGACGACGGGUAGCCGGCCUGAGAGGGCGACCGGCCACACUGGGACUGAGACACGGCCCAGACUCCUACGGGAGGCAGCAGUGGGGAAUAUUGCACAAUGGGCGGAAGCCUGAUGCAGCGACGCCGCGUGAGGGAUGACGGCCUUCGGGUUGUAAACCUCUUUCAGCAGGGACGAAGCGCAAGUGACGGUACCUGCAGAAGAAGCGCCGGCCAACUACGUG
This 463-nucleotide ribosomal RNA is filed under the name uncultured bacterium. RNAcentral describes it as "partial 16S ribosomal RNA". It matches the Rfam family "Bacterial small subunit ribosomal RNA", at positions 27 to 507 of the family's 1533-position model. The record is from RNAcentral.